This 240-nucleotide long non-coding RNA is filed under the name Mytilus galloprovincialis (Mediterranean mussel). Lineage: Eukaryota; Metazoa; Mollusca; Bivalvia; Mytilida; Mytilidae. The record is from RNAcentral.
CGUAGUUACUUAUAAUAAGGAUCUCAUAAUACUGUUCCAUUACAAUAAUUAGAAUAAUUUAUGAUGGGUUUCACAUUCCUCUUAUAGUGUUUCCAUGCUAUAAAACGAACAUACCGAUAGAACGUUACACUUGCAGUAGCUAACCGUUUGGUCAUUCAGAAAUUACGUAUCAUUUAAAACGGAGCAAAUUGUCCCCGAAAUAUAGAAACAAAGCAACAAUAAUCGUAUCAUUUGUGCACG